CUGAGAUGGUCCCUGAAGAAAAGAGUAUCAACCAUGGGCUUUUUCCAGUGGCCAGUGACAAGGGGAGCAGAGAUUACAGCUCUCAAGUGCCUUCUAGUAACCAAAGAGACUGGCAAGGGAUCCAUCAAGUGGUACAUGAAGAACAAAAGAGAAACAUGGAGCAGGAAAAGGCACUUUUCUGGAGAAAAACUGAAGAUUGUGGGAGAAAAAGUUUAAAUCUGGCACCUGACUGCAGUUCUUAUUAGCAUGGACCAAGAUGCUUUGCAGAUUUUGAUAAUCAUCUGAAAGUACAACAGUGUCUCUACUUUUUGGAUACAGUAGAAGUUGUUCCUAGGUAACAGUGGCAGAACUCUUUGACCACUUUGUGAUGUGUAAUUGGAGAGCAAACAUUUUUUGCAGUCCUCCAUGUGACGUGGCUGCUUGAAGUAAGUUUUGUGGUACCAACUGGAGAAAGAAAAAUAAUUACUUGUUUCCCUCUGCCAGGUUAGGGGACCUGCCCUAGGACUUUAUGGGAAAGCACUUGUAUAUCAGCAUUUUAGGCCCCUUGCCACCACUCUGUAUAGCACGAAUAAUGGAACCACAAAAAUCUGUCUGAGAUAAAAAUAGCCUUUGGAUUCUAUUUUGGUAAUAAAAAAUUGUCUAUAGUGAAGUAUAUUUUCUUUGCCAUAGGAUGUCUCUAGGGUAGGUUCAAAACAAAAUAAUAACUCAUAAAGAAUAUUCCAUGAACUCUUCUGACACUUCACUGUGGAGGUUCUACUGAGAAUGGUGACCACUCCUUCGGCAUCUGCUCUUGAACAGACUGGUGGAUAAGGAUGAAUUCCUGCUUCAAUACGUAUUUACCAUCGCAAAACUUAAUUUUAAUUUAGAACCUUGUUUGAACUGAACUUAUAGUCAUGUUUUAAGUGGCCUUUGAAAUGCUGGCCUGUGUGACACCAGACUAUUCUUAGAAACAAAUACUUUAACUAAGGUGUUGUGUAAACAGAUGCUCCUGAUUUUGGAGGCAUUUGAUGACCACUUCCACUUCUCAUCUGUCACAUUAAAGCAUAAGCUGGCCUUGACCUAAGCACACAGUUCUUCUUGAACUUCUAAGACUUUUCAGAGGAUGCUUGCUUUCAUGGGCUGAUACUAUUUCACAGUCUUGUUCUCCCUGAAACCUCAGGGGUUUCAAAACCCUCACACUCCUCAGAGAUUUUAAUCUAGUUCAUGUAUGGCUUUCAACUACUGCUUAAAGGUUAGUGCCCAGCAUUUUGCUUUGUGGGAUGUUUGUAGUGAAAAGAUGCUUAGCCAAAGUUCUUCAGUAAUGUCCCCUGCUUGGGCAGGAGGAAGAGCUUUCACCUGGACAGCUCCCACCUAGGGCAGGUGCAGAAAUGGAUGAGAAGGGAGAAUGCUGUCUCUAUAUAUUUUAGCCCUUACAGAGCAGUUCCCCAAAAGCUGGAACUCAGUUUGUGAUAUGCGGUUAGCUGUGCAAUGGGAAAGAGUCCCUGCCUGCUCUGUUGUUCUCCUCCAGCCUGUCUAGCGUAGCCUAAGUAGGUUAGUUGAAAUACAUGGUCAUAGUAUUUCCAGGGUUUACUUUUCAGCUCCAUACAUUGAAAGAACGUGCUGUCUUCCAGGCACAGAGCUACUCACUACUUUCUGGCACAUCUAGUUCAGCAGUGUUGAUCUUUACGCUUUACAAGACAUGGUUUCAAAGAUUUGAGGGAGGGGGAUGGAGGAAAUUUAAAAAAAAAAAAAAAUCUUUUCUUUAGUUGCUGUUUAUUGCAACCACGGAGUUUUGCUUCUCCCUACAAGCGCGGCAGGUGGUGCUCUUGAUCCUUCCAGACAGAAAUUGUACUUGGUAAGCUCCAGUAAGGUCAGAAUUAUGCCAUCCAACACCAGCUUGCUGGUUUUAGCCCUGUCUGGUUAGUCCAAGGAUCUUUCAGCUUUGAGUGAAGUGGUUUUUAUCAGUGAAAGGGAAGGGAGGGACGAAAAUGUAUUUUAAGUGGGACUGGGUUUUGGCAGUAAAUGAAGAAAAGAUCAAUACAAACAGAAGUAGCUAGUUGGCAAGUACAUACUUAGCCACGCUAUAGCCCAAUCCAGCCUUGGGUCCAAAAUUUAGAUGACAAAGGUGCUAGCUCUGCAACCCACAAGUAAAACAUUGUAGCUAUUAAAUUUUAUGGUCCUAUUGAAGUCAUUUUGGUUGUGCUAUGUACUUUAAGUAGGAUCAUGCUUUCACCUACACGUUGUAAUUUCCCACCACAAGCACCCCAAAACUUAUAAGAAGCAACUAUUCUGAUUUCAAGAUCUUUCAUGAUUUGAGAAUAGCCACUUGCUUGUUUCUCAGCUGGCAGCUAUAAACUGUGCUGAAGAUCAUGCAUUUGCUGUCACCCCUUAGAUCUUAUGAAACCUGGAUCAGAAAGGCCAUCAGCAGUAGAGAGGUAAAUUCUCUUCCAGCUGUUAAUAAACAGAUGGUAAUUAAAACUGGCAAGUGUCAAUAUAUAUGCAUUUUUUUAAAAAAAGAACAUUUCAAGUGGAAAACCCACUUUUCAAGAUUCCAAAAUUCUUAGUUGAAAACGUUUAGGACAGUCACUCAAAAUAGGCAAUUCUGAGCAGAACUUCAAAACUUUGGGGAGAAAGAUUAUUAUGAAUAUAUGCCAGGUAUCUGGUCAACUGGAUUCCUACCCAAGCUUUUUUGCAGCAAGGUGUGAUGGAAAGGUGUGAUUGCCAGUUCUUUUGAAUUUUUCUUGUAAAUAUAUGUUCCUUAGGCAUUUAGUAUUAGGUAAAAAUAUAUGCCCGCUUCAUUUAUUCUAGCAGCAUUUAGUGCUGCUGUUCCCCAGUCCUCUCCUGUAUAUGUUAACUAUGUUCAGAGAUACUCUAAAAUAGGGAAGAUGAUUGUAUGUUUUACCCGA
This is a long non-coding RNA of Harpia harpyja (harpy eagle), 2885 nucleotides long. RefSeq lists it as uncharacterized. The transcript is spliced from 3 exons. Lineage: Eukaryota; Metazoa; Chordata; Aves; Accipitriformes; Accipitridae. The record is from RefSeq and is a predicted model, not a curated record.